CCUGCAGACUAUGAAGACAGGCAGGGAGAGAUGUGGGGAGCUCUGCUUCAGCUGUGGGCACAGGAGGCAGGACUCAGGGAUGACCUCCACCAUGGCCUGGGCCCCUCUCCUCCUCACCCUCCUGGCUCACUGCACAGGAUCCUGGGCCCAGUCUGUGCUGACUCAGCCGGCCUCAGUGUCGGGGUCCCCAGGCCAGAGGGUCACCAUCUCCUGCACUGGAACCAGCACCAACAUUGGGGAUGGUUAUAGUGUGUCCUGGUACCAGCAGCUCCCAGGAAAGGCCCCCAAAUGUGUCAUCUAUGGUGAUAGCAACCGACCCUCAGGGGUCCCGGACAGAUUCUCUGGCUCCAGGUCUGGCAGCUCAGCCACCCUGACCAUCACGGGGCUGCAGGCUGAGGACGAGGCCGAUUAUUACUGCUCAGCAUGGGACAAGAGUCUUAAGGGUCCCACAGUGCUGCAGGCCUGUGGGGAAGUGAGACAAAAACCUGCUGUCCCUCUUGACACAGGGCUUCCCUAGCAGACCCCACUCCUC
This is a non-coding RNA of Pipistrellus kuhlii (Kuhl's pipistrelle), 532 nucleotides long. The record is from the annotation of a RefSeq genome assembly. Lineage: Eukaryota; Metazoa; Chordata; Mammalia; Chiroptera; Vespertilionidae.